RNAcentral lists this signal recognition particle RNA (91 nucleotides) under Pseudomonas aeruginosa. RNAcentral describes it as "Bacterial small signal recognition particle RNA". It matches the Rfam family "Bacterial small signal recognition particle RNA". From Rfam's summary of the family: The signal recognition particle (SRP) is a universally conserved ribonucleoprotein involved in the co-translational targeting of proteins to membranes. Archaeal SRP consists of a 7S RNA and homologues of the eukaryotic SRP19 and SRP54 proteins. In most bacteria, the SRP consists of a 4.5S RNA and the Ffh protein (a homologue of the eukaryotic SRP54 protein). Lineage: Bacteria; Pseudomonadati; Pseudomonadota; Gammaproteobacteria; Pseudomonadales; Pseudomonadaceae. The record is from RNAcentral.
UCGGUCCCCCCGCAACGAUUACCCGUCAACCUGGUCAGGUCCGGAAGGAAGCAGCCACAGCGGGAACAUCGUGUGCCGGGGUGUGGCUGGC